UGUAAGGGAAUAUCACGAUUGUGACUCCUGAAGGGUGGCAGCUGAACUGGUUCUUUAAAAAUAUUUUGGUAUCUAAUAAAAGUUUUACAUCAGCACCUAAGUUGGAGUCGGUUUCUAUAAUUUGCAUCUCACCAGCAAUUUUCACAAUGGUGACUCAGUCUGAGAAUCAAUUCCCCUUUGAAAAUUCCCUUCUCAGAACAACGUAGUCUGUAGGCUGCAGCUCCCCUGUCAAACCUUGCAAGGACAUGUGGUUCUACGGUUCAGCAUGC
This 269-nucleotide long non-coding RNA is filed under the name Manihot esculenta (cassava). Its description in RNAcentral is "long non-coding RNA (MESC_LNC009021)". The record is from RNAcentral. Lineage: Eukaryota; Viridiplantae; Streptophyta; Magnoliopsida; Malpighiales; Euphorbiaceae.